CCUGAUGCAGCAACGCCGCGUGAGGGAUGAAGGUCUUCGGAUUGUAAAUCUCUUUUACAGGGGACGAGUAAGGACGGUACCCUGUGAAUAAGCAACGGCUAACUACGUG
RNAcentral lists this ribosomal RNA (109 nucleotides) under uncultured bacterium. RNAcentral's name for it is "partial 16S rRNA". It matches the Rfam family "Bacterial small subunit ribosomal RNA", at positions 382 to 507 of the family's 1533-position model. The record is from RNAcentral.